AUUGAACGCUGGCGGCAGGCUUAACACAUGCAAGUCGAGCGGGGUGAUGGUGCUUGCACUAUCACUUAGCGGCGGACGGGUGAGUAAUGCUUAGGAAUCUGCCUAUUAGUGGGGGGCAACAUCUCGAAAGGGAUGCUAAUACCGCAUACGUCCUACGGGAGAAAGCAGGGGAUCACUUGUGACCUUGCGCUAAUAGAUGAGCCUAAGUCGGAUUAGCUAGUUGGUGGGGUAAAGGCCUACCAAGGCGACGAUCUGUAGCGGGUCUGAGAGGAUGAUCCGCCACACUGGGACUGAGACACGGCCCAGACUCCUACGGGAGGCAGCAGUGGGGAAUAUUGGACAAUGGGGGGAACCCUGAUCCAGCCAUGCCGCGUGUGUGAAGAAGGCCUUAUGGUUGUAAAGCACUUUAAGCGAGGAGGAGGCUUUUUUGGUUAAUACCUAAGAUGAGUGGACGUUACUCGCAGAAUAAGCACCGGCUAACUCUGUGCCAGCAGCCGCCGUAA
This 503-nucleotide ribosomal RNA is filed under the name uncultured bacterium. Its description in RNAcentral is "partial 16S ribosomal RNA". It matches the Rfam family "Bacterial small subunit ribosomal RNA", at positions 30 to 523 of the family's 1533-position model. The record is from RNAcentral.